Molecule: long non-coding RNA, 2748 nt
Organism: Homo sapiens (human)
Lineage: Eukaryota; Metazoa; Chordata; Mammalia; Primates; Hominidae
Exons: 2
Source: RefSeq, a predicted model, not a curated record
UUUAAAAAAAAAAAAAGAAAGAAAGAAAAGAAAAAGAAAAGACAAGAAAAGAAAAGAAAAGGAUAUAAUCAGCCAAAUUCAAAAUGUGUGAAAUGCUACAAGCUUCCAGGACUGUGAAACAAGACAUUUCUUUGGUUCAAGCCACUCCCUUAGUGCACAUUGUUAUGGCAGCCAUGGAAAACCAUCCACAGAGGGUCAGUUCCUAUGGAGGUGGGGUGAGUGACGAGAUGUUCCUGACUGGGCUGACAACGGAGGACGAGAGAGCUUGGGUGUGGAUGGGAAAAUAACUAGAAACUUCCCUUGAUCUCUCAGCAUUCUGUUCCAUCCCUGUCACUUCGAUGUCUCUCUUUCUUGAAUAUGGAAGCAGCCCUGGGCCCAGCUGCUGCAGGUGGCCAGGAAGGAGCCUGGGAGGAUGACGGGGUUCCUGAUCUGAUAGAACUGGGCUGUGACUAGGCAGAACCCUGUUCCACCACACACACCCCAGUGGAGGUCAGUACCCCAAAUCUGACACCAGGAUGUAGCAUGUCCAUGGAGUCUGUCUGCUGACACCUGUCCCACCCUCCCCUGGCCCGUAACUUUGAGAGAUACUGCAAUUCCUACCGAUGUUGCUGCCAUCCUUUAUUCAGCCCAUUAUCAGAAGUUAUGACACAUUGCAAAAUGCUCAGGCUAGUUGAAUUUCUGCAACAGGGCAAGGCGGUUAAAUCCUGUCCUUCCUGGAGUCUCAUUGACCAGGCUUUGAAUCCCAAUUCUACCAUGGAUUAGAUUUGCAACUUUGGCAAAUUGAUGAACUCUUCUGAGCUUUGGACUAAUAAUAGGGUUUUGUGAGGAAUACCUGAGAUAAUGCAUGUACAACACCUUGCAUGUUGUUUAGCACCUACUAGAAAUGCAACCAACUCUAGCUGUUAUCGCUAGUUUUUCUCUUGCUCCAUCUCCAUUCCUGAGAUGUGCAUGGCUACUCUGUGUUUGUUGUUGGGAAGAGCCGUAGACAGUCGUAUCCUCUUCCUGAGAAUGGUAACUGAGCUGCCCCCUUGGGACUGUCCAGGGGCUGGCCAUUAGCCCCACGAGGCAGCAACAAAACCAACAAGACAAGUCUGUUUACUCUUCUGGUCUAUAAUUUAAAAUGUGUUUGAUGCUACUUUUUUUUUUUCUUUUUAGGACGUUCUGUAUCUGUGAUGAAUGACCCCUGCAUACAUUAUAUCUUUCAGUAAAAACAGUGGUGUUUCAGUAGUGUUACUAGCUAAGCUGCUUAACUCUCACAUUACAGACGUCAGUGAAGCCCCUUGGUAGGUAGUGUCUAAAAUUAGAUUUAUCUGCUUAUUUACACAAUUAUACUCUCAUGAGUUUGAAUGUUGGGGAAAGAUCAAGAAAAAGACCAGAUCACUAGAUGGCAAUAGCACACAAGAGCUUUAUUUGGAUGAAGCUUGGACAGAAUGCAUGGAAGGGGAAAGUCCCUUGCAGCAGAAGACCUUCCAGAGGCAGUGGCAGGGCCACCACCAGAAGAAAAGGGCAAGGACACUCCCAGGGGAGAGGAGGAUCAGAGAGGAGGUUACAGGUCUAAGAGAUGUCACAGGUCUAGAAGAAAAGAAAAGGAGCCAGGUGCAGUGGCUCACACCUGUAAUCCCAGCACUUUGGGAGGCCCAGGCGGGCAGAUUGCUGAGUUCAGGAGUUUGAGACCAGCCUAGGCAAACAUGGUGAAACCCCAUCUCUAAAAAAAGAUUUAAAAAUUAACCAGGCCUGGUGGCAUGUACCUGAAGUCUCAUUUACUUGGGGGGCUAAGGCUGGAGGAUCGUUUGAACCCAAGAGGGUUCAUGGUGGGGAGCAUCAUGGUGAGGAGUCUCUGGGUCAGAGAGCUCCAAAGGACAGCAGCCAUUUGGGGUCUUUUGUAGCCCUGAGGUUCGUCUUACCUAUGGUGAGAGGGUGUCGGGUGUAGUUUUGCAAAUUAUCGAAGCAGGCAGGCUCUAAAUGGGCAAAUAAUAUUUGGCCUACAUUUAAAGCAAUUGGAUGUGCAAGAAUUUGAGUUUGGUGCUGGCAGGCUUGAGUUAACGGUCCUGGGCUGUGGUGUGGAAGUAAACAGCAUGGGGGCCAAUACACAGGGGCUGUCUUGAACUCGUUCAUACAAUCCAUUUAUAACCUGUUUAUAACUUGUUUAUAACCCAUUUAUACCACAUACCCCUAAAGCAAAUACCUAGCAGAUAGCAUGCAGGGCCUAUUUGCCUGGCCUCCUUCAAUGGCAUCACAUUCUCCACCACCACGAUGGUUAAUAUGGACGAGCCCUAGCAGCUGCCCAGUGAAGUCCACACGCUACUGCCCAAACCAGCUCAAGUCCUUAGUUGUCAUGAAAAUAAUGUGAGUUCCCACAGCCGUAAAAGGGAAAGCAGCAAGAGCCACAUGAGCAUCCCCGGAACCCUGGGAACAGUCAUCAGUGUCAUCUUCAGGGUCAUGUCCCUACAAGCAGUUCUCAGGCUCCUGCUGAGGGUCAGAACAGAGCCGAAGUCACAGGAUAUCAAAAAUGGAUAAGCCCAACCUCAGCUCGCAGAGGAAUUGCUCAGCUGACAGAUGAUUGUGUUAUCUCAGUGAAGCCAGAUGACAAUGUACUUGGCCAACGGAACAUCUUGGUCAAUGGAUCUCCAAGUUGGUUAUAAAAUUAAAGCAAAAUAAUGCCAUUAUAUGUAAGAUGUCAUUGAUUGUAAGAUGCUCCUUUAUUUGAUGUACCACUAAUAAAUAAAAACACUGACAUUUAAACAAUGA